This 493-nucleotide ribosomal RNA is filed under the name uncultured bacterium. RNAcentral describes it as "partial 16S ribosomal RNA". It matches the Rfam family "Bacterial small subunit ribosomal RNA", at positions 28 to 506 of the family's 1533-position model. The record is from RNAcentral.
GACGAACGCUGGCGGCGUGCUUAACACAUGCAAGUCGAACGGUGAAGCGCCUUCCUUUUUGGUGGGUGUGGAUGAGUGGCGAACGGGUGAGUAACACGUGAGUAACCUGCCCCCUUCUUCUGGAUAACCGCAUGAAAGUGUGGCUAAUACGGGAUAUUCUGGGUCUGUCGCAUGAUGGGUCUGGGAAAGAUAUUGUUUCGGUGGGGGAUGGGCUCGCGGCCUAUCAGCUUGUUGGUGGGGUGAUGGCCUACCAAGGCGGUGGCGGGUAGCCGGCCUGAGUGGGUGGCCGUCCAAGCGGGGAGUGAGCCACGGCACAGACUACUAGGGGAGGAAGCGGGGGGGAAUGUUGACAAUGGGGCGCAAGCCUGAGCCAGCCACGCCGGGUGAGGGGGGGGGGCCUUGGGGUUGGUAACCUUUUUCGGAAGGGAAGCCGGCCUGCCCAUUUGGGGGGGGGGUUGACGGUAGGAGGAUAAAAAGCCCCGGCAAACUAGGU